Molecule: ribosomal RNA, 540 nt
Filed under: Renibacterium sp. CMT402
Lineage: Bacteria; Bacillati; Actinomycetota; Actinomycetes; Micrococcales; Micrococcaceae
Description: bacterial SSU rRNA
Rfam family: Bacterial small subunit ribosomal RNA
Source: RNAcentral
CGCCGCGUGAGGGAUGACGGCCUUCGGGUUGUAAACCUCUUUCAGUAGGGAACAAGACAUCAUUUUUGUGGUGUUGAGGGUACUUGCAGAAGAAGCACCGGCUAACUACGUGCCAGCAGCCGCGGUAAUACGUAGGGUGCAAGCGUUAUCCGGAAUUAUUGGGCGUAAAGAGCUCGUAGGCGGUUUGUCGCGUCUGCCGUGAAAGUCCGGGGCUCAACUCCGGAUCUGCGGUGGGUACGGGCAGACUAGAGUGAUGUAGGGGAGACUGGAAUUCCUGGUGUAGCGGUGGAAUGCGCAGAUAUCAGGAGGAACACCGAUGGCGAAGGCAGGUCUCUGGGCAUUAACUGACGCUGAGGAGCGAAAGCAUGGGGAGCGAACAGGAUUAGAUACCCUGGUAGUCCAUGCCGUAAACGUUGGGCACUAGGUGUGGGGGACAUUCCACGUUCUCCGCGCCGUAGCUAACGCAUUAAGUGCCCCGCCUGGGGAGUACGGCCGCAAGGCUAAAACUCAAAGAAAUUGACGGGGGCCCGCACAAGCGGC